Molecule: long non-coding RNA, 6561 nt
Organism: Neofelis nebulosa (Clouded leopard)
Lineage: Eukaryota; Metazoa; Chordata; Mammalia; Carnivora; Felidae
Exons: 2
Source: RefSeq, a predicted model, not a curated record
GUCAGCACAGAGCCCAUCAUGAGGCUCAAACCCACAGACCGCAAGAUUGUGACUUGAGCCGAAGUGGGGUGCUCGACUGAGCCACCCAGGUGCCCCUUAAGAAUCUUUUUGAGUGUUAAGAUUAACCUAGACAAAUAAUAAAAAGCUAAGAUACUUGAUUAGCAGUCCAGUGGCAAUAAAAGUAGUUCAAAAGAAUCUUUCCUUCUAGAAAAUUCCAUUUGCUUUUUCUACUUCUAUUUUAAUUAGAGCUAACACUGAAAGUGAAGUUAUGGGAGUUAAGAUUGAAUAGAACACAGUUGCUAAUACUGGAUUUCUUCAUAUUUAUACAGUUCUGGUGUAUGUAAAAGGCUGUAGUAGAGACACACAGAGGCUAAACUUUGCUGGGUUUAAACCCAUCUUUGUCCCUUAGGGGUUUGAUCUUGAAUAAACAGCUUAACUCCACGGGUCACUUUUAAAACCCCUAUUUCGUAAAAGGUGCCUCUGAGAAAUAAGUCAGGGUAAGUGGAUAAGACAAAUGCUGGGUAUUUUUCCCCUACCUUUGAUGAAGUUUCCCAUAAGGACAAAAGCCUAGGCGUUUUUUUCUAAAAAUACGGAACGUUACAGAAGCAGAUUCUGUUGGAUUUGAUGGUCUAGGAAGAUUUUGUUGACUUAGUGAUCUUUAAAUCCCUUUUAUUAUUUCCAGUGAACAGUAAAAUCACACGUGAGUACUCAGCACGUCAAGCUUUAGGCUUUAGGUCAUGAUUAGAUACAGUAGAGAGAUGCAGGUGGCCGUGGGAAACACUGCAAGGGGGCCAGAGUCUGUGAAACUAGAUGAAUGCCAGGCUAGCUAAUGUGGAACAGCUGCUUAGAUUUCUUUGUUUAUAAAAGAGUUUUUAAAUUAAGGUAUAACUGACCUGUAACGUUUUAGUUUCAGAGGUACACGAUAACUCAAUGUUUCUAUGUAUUAUGAAGUCGUCACAGUAAGCCUAGUUAACCUAUCACUACAGUUAAACUUUUUUUGUUUAAACUUGUUGAUAAGGACUUUUUAAAGAUUCACUCUCUUAGCAACUUUCAAAUGUGCAAUACAGUAUUAUUAACUGUGGUCAUCCUGCUGUACUCCUAUCCCUGGCAUAUUUUACAACUGGAAGUUUGUAUCUUUUGACCCCCUCACCCGUUUUGCCCAUGCCUGCUCUGGCAGCCAUCCAUUGUUUGUAUUUAAUAACUGAGUUACUACGCUUCACAUAGACAGUCUAAACUUUGCAGUAGAAUGAAUACCUCUUUUUAUUUACUUUUAAACAAGUCUUUUUUUUUUUUUUUAAGUUUAUUCAUUUUGAGAGAGAGAGGGAGAGAGAGUCCCAAGCAGGCUCCACACCAUCAGCACAAAGCCCAAUGUGGGGCUUAAACCCAUAAAGCCAUGAGACCAUGACCUGAGCCGAAACUGAGUCAGACGCUCAACCGACUGAGCCCCAAGGUGUCCCAAUUGAAUGCUUCAUUUUAACCUGGACUGAGGACCUUGGUUCAUCCAGGUAACCGGUGUGUACUGACAGCCGUGGCAUGGCUUUCUUGGGGCACAGGAGCCUGCAUGCCCGUCCUGAGAAGGAACACCGCAGUGGCAGGACCCACAGGCCACCCACCCAGACGACACUGGGGUGUGCUGGUCUUUGUACCCAAGGCUGUAAGAGGCUGCAAGUGCUGACGUAAUAACGCGUGUACCAACAUAAAAGGCAUGGUCUUACUAUCUACCUACUUUGGAAAGAACGGAUGUUUACUCGUAAUAUCCUUUUGUAUCCCGUGUUCAUAGUGUUCCGGAAUGUAUUAAGGUAUCAAACCUCGUUAGGCAGAGUUACAAACAUUUUGUCCACGCACUAUUUAAAGACAUGAUGUGUUUUUUUUGCAGGCGACCAGCCUUUCUGCACCGUCUGUCUAAAGGAAUUGCUGAUUGCUUGCGAUCACUACAUGUACGGAACAAGGUCUCGUGGCUGUCGGUCUCCCGCUGUUUCAGCUUGAGCUCUUUAGUCUUGGGGCCCAGGUGCUUUUAAGCAAUUUGGGAGGUAGACUUCUGGGUUCGUUUAACCUGGAGAACUGGCUAGUCAUCAUUUAGUGCUGUUGAGGAACUCGUGUCCUCCUUACCCUCCGUCUGCAAGCUUGUGGAGGGCUUGGGGGUGGGAACAGCAGGAGAGAGGUCCGUCACGUACCAAAAGGGCCUCUUUAGGGUUUUGUGGGGGCUUUGUUUCCCUCACAGACCAAACACCAGUGUGCUGUGUCCCGCUCCCCCAACCCACCAAAAAAGGACAACAAAUACAUGGUUUUAACUGGAAUGAAGGAAAGCAUUAGCUCACUUCUCUUGCCUCAAAUACUUUGUAUUACCUGAUUUUGUUCAUAAAGAUGGGGUCGAUGCUUUCUCAACUUAAAAUCCCUACUUAGAAGGGCAACCGGGUGGCUCGGUUGGUUAGGUGUCCAACUCUUGAUCUCGGCUCAGGUCGUGAUCUCAGGGGCCGUGAGCGUGAGCCCCAUGUCAGGCUCUGCUGACAGCGUAGAGCCUGCUUGGAAAUCUCUGUGUCUGCCCCUACCCCCACUUGUAAUGAAUAAACAAAACAGAGAAAUCCUUACUUAAAAAGAAGUCCCUGCAAACAGUAACUGGCUAAGUCUUGAUUUGUGCCAUUCGGUGCUUCAUUUUAAACCAGAGUUUUCUUACUAAACAAGAAAAUGUCAGGUUUGAGUCAACCUUCAAUUAUUCAGCCAACAUAUAAAAGUAACAGCCGCCAUGUAUCGUCUGCGUGUGCAGGCACCAUGUAUACUGUAUGUUAAAUCUUCCCAACAGCCCUGCCUGGGAAGAUGUUAGUGUUCCUGGAGAGGAUGCCACGACCUGGCAGGGGGUCCACAUGUGGCUGCAAAGCCUGUAUCCUCUUAGCCACCAUCCUGCACAGGAGACGCGCCGGGUCGCAGGCCGUGGCACCGUUGGCCCAAAGUAACUGAUGUCAGGAGUGGAACCAGGUGUCUACAGUGGUCUCGUCUCUGUCCUUGCUUCCCAGUGUGGUAGGGAAUUACCCUCAGUUUAUGACCACAAAAACAAUAAGAUCCAAGAAACUCACGUGGUCCAGGAGUAGAGCCGGAAUAAGACAUCAGGGUGGUCAGCCUGGGGUCUUCGUGGCUGGGCUUCUUACGGGAAGGAAAGACCGAUGCUGCCGAGCGCAGCACACACAGGCUUUCCCUCCAGGUGCACCUGCGCCUUGUUCUCGCAUGCUUCCUGCCUCGCCUCGUAGUCAGUUUUAGGAUUGCAUUUCACCCCUAAGACUUUACGCAGUUUACCAGGUGCAGAAUGAUAUGUGAAGUCAGAAGGUCUGAAUCGGGACUGGCGGACCAGUACAGCCUACCUUGGGGAGGUCAGUUUUCUCGCCCAGCAUCCUCCCAGACAACUCUGUGACCGUGCGUGUCCCGCAGUCCGGGGAUGAGCCCAGCUAAUGUGCGCACCCACUCUAAGGAUGCUGAAUCCUACACAAUUCUGGUCCAUUGUUGAUCAUUCCAAUUAACAGAUGUGUUCUGGAAAAUGGAGUUGAGGGGCACCUGGGUGGCUCAGUCGGUUAAGCGUCUGACUUUGGCUCAGGUCGUGAUCUCACGGUUCGUGGGUUCGAGCCCAGCGUCAGGCUCUGUGCUGACGGCUCGGAGCCUGGAGCCUGCUUCGGAUUCUGUGUCUCCCUCUCUCUGCCCCUCCCCCACUCAUGCUCUGUCUCUCUCUCUCUCUCAAAAAUAAGUAAUCAUUAAACAAAAAAUGGAAUUGAGAUUGCUUACAGCUGGAGAGAAACAUCAAGUCCAGCUGUAAAAUACAGUGGCGGCUUCGUCUUCCGUCCUUUUGGCGGGGGGCGGGGGGCGCUGCAGCUGCUUUUCCAGAAAUGACCCUGUUUCUCUGUGUAGGACCCAGGGGUGGAGAGACAUGGUAAUCGUCCUGUUGACUCCCCUCUUGAUUGAAUCCGAGUAGACCCAAAAUUAGCUCAGUCACUUCCGUGUGUAGGUGAGGAGACUGAGGCCCAGAACGAUGAAGGCACUCAAGUCAGUGGUAAGGCUCCUGAGCCAGACCUGGGUGGUCUGGUCACCGAGGCCAGUGCCCACGCUGCCGUCUGAGCCUGGGGCUGGCCUUCCUCCUGCGGGCGUGGGGGGAGCUGCUGUCUGCAGAGAGCAGAGGCCUUCAGUAGAUGUGUGUUAAGUAUAUAAUCGAUCCGUGAAUUGACAGAAAAACAAGACAUUUUCUUUUCUUUCUUUGACAUUUUCUUUUCUAACUUCUAAAUGUUCUAUGAUCACACCCUAGGACAGAAUUUCAAACUUGGGUAAAGGAAAUGUUUUUAGGAUAGAUGUAUAGGCCGUUAGAAAUGCAGUAUUUCUAAAUGAUUAAUAUUUGAGAAAUGGAAUUUGGUUAGAUUUUGGUCACCCAAUGCAUUUGAUAUUUUCUACUAUGAAGUUUCAAAAGAACAGAUGUAAAUAAUUGUUUGUAGGGUUUAUUAACAAUUUAUCCACUUACAAAGAUGCUUGAAAUGGUUUGCUGUCUCCCAAAUUUAUUUCUGCAUGAGAGAUUGCUUGAUAGUUAUUUGUUUUCUCUACUGUUGUAUUUAAGCAUCUUUUGGCUGCAACUAAUGGUAACGGACUGACUAGGCCUUAAGCAGAGAUGGAAGAGAAACCUUUCAGAAAAUCCAGGAAGCAGAGUGGCGCUGGGGACAGGUGGUGAUGAGAUCUUCACAGAUGUGACCUGAGGAACAGUUCUGCACAGGUGGAGAAGACACAUGUGGCCCCAACUAUGGCCAAGGGCAGAUGGCUUGCUAGAUGCUGAGCCACGAGUCUGGCUUGGACAGUCAGGUACUGUGUUUGGAGUAAACUUUUCCAUUUUUAAAAUCCUUCUUGCCCUGAUAGAUGCUGUGUUUAAAACGGGUAAUUACACUGCCACCAUGGCAACCAGGCUGGAUUUGGCUUCAUUCUUUCCACAUUACUUGGGAUAUGCUCAGGGAAUGGAAAUUAACUUUUAUAUUUCUUUCUUUUUUUUAAACAUGUUUGCACACUUUAUUUUUUAAAAAUUUUUUAACAUUUAUUCAUAUUUUGAGAGACAGAGCGUGAGCGGGGGAGAGGCAGAGAGAGAGGGAGACACAGAAUCUAAAGAAGGCUCCAGGCUCUGAACUGACGGCACAGAGCCCGACGCGAGGCUUGAAACCACAGACCGUGAGAUCAUGACCUGAGCUGAAGUUGGACGCUUAACCGACUGAGCCACCCAGGCGCCCUAACUUUUAUAUUUCAAGCUAGUCCACGUUGGGUUUCUACACUGACCAAAUCUACCACCACCUACGCUGCCCAGCCCUGCUAACCUCCCCAGCAUCACAGCUGCAUCUGUCUUCACAGAUCUCUGUCCAGUGUAUUACGUACACGCCUCUCUGGUGGUUUUGAAACCACAAAUUUCUCACUCCUCCCAUUAAAGGCGGGGCCUAGUUCCCCUCCCCUGGCCUCUGGAUGAACCUUCCAGCCUGCGCUCAGAAGGAGACCAUGGCCAGCCGGCCAGGAGGCCUCAAGACUACCCAGGUGAGGGUGGACAGGGCAGCAUAGCUCCGGCCCAGCCCGGUCCACACAGGCUCACCCUGAGACUCAGCCACCCACCAAGGCCAGAUGGGUGUUCCUGCCACAACUUCAGCAGAGUCUCUGGGCAGCCAGAGCCUCCCACCAGACGCACGAGCAAGCCCGCAGGUGGUUCCAACCCCAGGUGACACCGAGUGCACAGCCCUGCCCAAACCGCAGAGGCUCAGGAAAGUUAACUUGGGGUGUUUUGUUACACAGCAGUAGGUAACCUGUGCAAAGAUAUGGUUUCCCUUUGCCCUGUACGUAAAUGGCAUCGUAUCCUCUGUAUUGAUCUUACACUAAUUUUUUUCCUAGGUAACACUUUGCCCUGGAGAUCUUUGCAUGUCAGUACGUAAAGAUUAAUUAACAUAUAAUUAACUACUGCAAAUAAUUUUGUCCUAACUUAUGUAAACACUCCUCUGUUGGUCAACAUGUUGAUUGCUACAACUUGUUCCUUACUGCAAACCAUUCUAAGAUGGGUAUCUCUGUGUUGGUCUCAUCAGGCACGUGGGAGCAUUUCUCUACGAUAUCCAGAAAUGAAAUUGUAAGAGAAGAACCUCACACUUUUAUCAUUCUGCCAAAUUGCCCAAAAAGCUGUGCCCUUUUGCACUUAUACCAGAGUAUAUGAGAAUAUUUCCCUCCCCUUAUCUUUAUCAUUGCUGGAUAUUAACACGUUUUCCUAUCUUGAGAAAAAGAUAUAAUUGUAUGGUUAUUAUGUAGUAUAGAUUAACUACUUAAAUAUUACAUAUUUUAUACAUAUUAUAUAAUACAUAUUGUAUAUUUUAUAUAUAAGUAUGUGUAUUUAAAUAUACUUUGCACUUCCCUUGUUUGUAGUGAUUUUCUGCAACUCUUCAGGUGUAUAUUGGCCAUUUGUAUUUAUACUAAAGUCAUUAAUUGUCUUAUUGCUUUGUUAUGUGCAAAUAUUUUCUCCCAGUCUGUUGUUGUUACUUUGGUUUAUGGCAUCUUUUGUCAUAAAGAAGCUUUAAAUUUUGA